CCUACGGGUGGCAGCAGUGAGGAAUAUUGGUCAAUGGGCGGAAGCCUGAACCAGCCAAGUAGCGUGCGGGAUGAGGCCCUACGGGUCGUAAACCGCUUUUGCACGGGGAUAACACCCUCCACUUGUGGAGGUCUGCAGGUACCGUGCGAAUAAGGGCCGGCUAAUUCCGUGCCAGCAGCCGCGGUAAUACGGAAGGCCCGAGCGUUAUCCGGCUUCAUUGGGGGUAAGGGGGGCGGGGGCGGGCGUCAAGGUCAGCUGUAAAAUCGCGCGGCUCAACCGCGAACCGCAGUUGAAACUGGACGCCUUGAGUUCACAACGGGCAGGCGGAAGUCGUGGUGUAGCGGUGAAAUGCAUAGAUAUCACGAGGAACCCCGAUUGCGAAGGCAGGUUGCUGCAGCGGAACUGACGCUGAUGCUCGAAAGCGCGGGUAUCGAACAGGAUUAGAUACCCUAGUAGUC
RNAcentral lists this ribosomal RNA (458 nucleotides) under uncultured bacterium. RNAcentral's name for it is "partial 16S ribosomal RNA". It matches the Rfam family "Bacterial small subunit ribosomal RNA", at positions 338 to 795 of the family's 1533-position model. The record is from RNAcentral.